Non-coding RNA from Paralichthys olivaceus (Japanese flounder), 1875 nucleotides. Lineage: Eukaryota; Metazoa; Chordata; Actinopteri; Pleuronectiformes; Paralichthyidae. The record is from RefSeq and is a predicted model, not a curated record.
GAGUCGGAUUUCUGUUUCUGACUCCGCAGUUUACCACCGCACGCCAAGUUGGCAGGAGUAAACCUAGUCACUGGGGCUUGACUAUGACUGCGAAAAUUUGGGACGUUAUUGUUGUUGGCGCCGGAUUAUCUGGACUGAGUGCAGCUCAUUUGCUCAGAAAGACGGAUGCCAAGUUAGAAAUACUGAUACUGGAGGGGAAAGAUCGAGUGGGAGGACGCACGCUGUCCACGGAAAUACCCGCAGCCAAUGGGGCUGACAUCUGGGACUUUGGAGGCCAGUGGGUCGGAAGCACCCAAACUCACAUCCUGGAGCUAAUAAAGGAGCUGGGCUUAGAGACCUACCCACAAUUCAACACUGGCAGGAAGGUGCAACACAUGAGAGGACCAGGCGCCAAAAUCCGCACCUACAGGUCCAAUAUUCCGGCUCUGUCCCCACUCACGCUAAUGGAUUUAACCCAGUUUUUUAGGAAGAUUGACAGAUUGUGUGCGACAGUGUGCGUCCAGGAUCCAUCGAAGACUCCCAAUGCUGCGGAGCUGGACAGUAUGACCCUGCACUCCUACACUGAGAAACACGGUUGGACUGCAGAACUAAAAGAGGAGAUGGCUCUGUGCAGCUGCUCUGUGUUUGGGAUGGAGUCGUCCCAGAUGUCCUUCUUGUUCUUCCUCAUGUAUGCGGCAGCGGCUGGAGGACUGCUGCCACUUCUGGAGAGCUCUGCAGGUUCUGCUCAGGAGUUCAAAAUAAAGGGAGGCACCCAACAGCUUUCAGAGCGCCUGGCGGAGCGUGUGGGGCUGGAGGACGUCCGGCUGGGUUCGGCGGUGACGGCCAUAUGGCAGGAUGCUGAGUGGGCUCGGGUGAUGACCGCCACCGCCACCUUCUUGUGCAGAGCUGUGAUUGUCACCUGCCCUCCUCAUCUAGCAGCAAAGAUCCAGUACCAGCCAGCCCUGCCCAGCCAGAGAGAGUUCCUCACCCAGAACAUGCCUGUGGGCCACCUCAUGAAAUUCAUUAUUACCUACCAGACGGCCUUUUGGAGAGAGAAGGACUUCUCUGGAGAAAUAGUCACAGGAUCCUCCACUGACUGUCCGUUCUGCGUUACCUUCGACGCCACCAGCCCCAGAGGUAAUGCUGCCCUGGUGGGCUUCAUCGCCGGCCAGCAAGCGUCUCAGUGGAGCUCCAAGGAGGCUGGAGAGAGAAGGGACGCUGUGGUUUCCAGUCUGGUCAAAUACCUGGGUCCCGAGGCUGCGUCUUUCAUCCACUAUGAGGAGAAGGACUGGGCUAAAGAGCCCUACAGCGGUGGCUGCCCCGUUAACGUCAUGGCACCAGGUCUGCUAACAUAUUACCACCCGAGCCUGAGGAAGCCCUGUGGCAGGAUCCAUUGGGCCGGCACGGAAACAGCCACCAAGUGGUGUGGGUACAUGAGCGGCGCGGUGGAAUCUGGUCAGCGAGCAGCUCUGGAAGUGCUGUCUAAACUCUGCCCCUCGAGCCCUGGAGGAGUAGCAAGCUGAGCUGCACAUUGAAAGUGUCCUGCAGAGCAAACACCAGCUCGGUGACGGUGCAGUUGGUCAGCGUUGGUGUUGAAUUUUGUUCGGAUGAAUUUGCCUGCUGCGUUGCAACUGAAGGUGACCCUGGCAGGAAUCCACUCCUACAGAAAAUCCUUCAUCCGAUGUCCCGUCCAGUGGCGAAAUAGAGAAGAAGACUGCAUCUCUGCCAACAACAAGGUGCAACAACAAAGACAACAUUACAGAGAAACACUUCAGGCCCUGGUCCUGCACAGGGCUGUGGCCCUGGGGUGAGGUUAGGACAUGGGGACAUAAAAUAUGGCCUGCAGGCUUAUCCCCUGUUUCCAAGCGGGAAACCAUCCAACCUUUAAGGUAAGCA